CACAAGUGCUUUCCUUUCAAUUUUGUGUUUCUCAUCAAACGAGUUUCCUAUUGAAGCUGCCCCUGCUAUUGAUUCGUGUUCUUUCAGGAGAGUGUCUACGGAGAUAUAUAUCAUCAAUACCUUGCCAGUGCCAGCAGCUCCUGAUCUAAUCCAAUGUGCAAACCAAUUGGCAAGCUGAAACAGCUCGGCGGUCAUCAGGAGGUUCUGCUUGCAAGGCAAGACUCAGGGCCACCUCCCAGGCGUCUCCAGCUUCCUUUGAGCAUUGCCUGGGAAAGAGGAGUUCCGUGCUGCUUGAGCAAAUGCCAUAGGUCCGGUUUUUUUUGUUUGUUUGUUUGUUUUGUUUGUUUUUUGCCAAAGCGUUUUGAGUUAGCCUUACAGUGGAAAUAAAACUGCCCAAAUGUA
Grammomys surdaster is the source of this 402-nucleotide long non-coding RNA. RefSeq lists it as uncharacterized. The transcript is spliced from 2 exons. The record is from RefSeq and is a predicted model, not a curated record. Lineage: Eukaryota; Metazoa; Chordata; Mammalia; Rodentia; Muridae.